UGUGAAUUGCAGAAUUCAGUGAAUCAUCGAAUCUUUGAACGCACAUUGCGCCCUUUGGUAUUCCUUAGGGCAUGCCUGUUCGAGCGUCACUAAAAACCCUCUCACAGAUAAUGUGGUAUUGGUAGAAGUGGAUAGUACUAACACUACCCCAUCUUACUCUACUGAAAUGAAUAGGCCAGAGAAGUGGACUAUGGUAAUAGACUCCAGAAGUGUUUUAAAAUGCUAAUCUAGUCUUACCCAAGUCAUGUUCUGAGCUACUGGACCCCCAUUUAGUCCAAACCAAAGAGGUUGACCUCGGAUCAGGUAGGGAUACCCGCUGAACUUAAGCAUAUCAAUAAGCGGAG
This 344-nucleotide small RNA is filed under the name Tuber sp. 18 KA-2010. Its description in RNAcentral is "eukaryotic LSU rRNA". The stretch from base 1 to 89 matches the Rfam family "5.8S ribosomal RNA", at positions 66 to 154 of the family's 154-position model. Lineage: Eukaryota; Fungi; Ascomycota; Pezizomycetes; Pezizales; Tuberaceae. The record is from RNAcentral.